Molecule: ribosomal RNA, 636 nt
Filed under: Penicillium charlesii
Lineage: Eukaryota; Fungi; Ascomycota; Eurotiomycetes; Eurotiales; Aspergillaceae
Description: eukaryotic LSU rRNA
Rfam family: Eukaryotic large subunit ribosomal RNA
Source: RNAcentral
GGUUGACCUCGGAUCAGGUAGGGAUACCCGCUGAACUUAAGCAUAUCAAUCAGCGGAGGAAAAGAAACCAACCGGGAUUGCCCUAGUAACGGCGAGUGAAGCGGCAAGAGCUCAAAUUUGAAAGCUGGCCCCCUCGGGGCCCGCAUUGUAAUUUGCAGAGGAUGCUUCGGGCGUGGCCCCUGUCUAAGUGCCCUGGAACGGGCCGUCAGAGAGGGUGAGAAUCCCGUAUGGGAUGGGGUGCCCACGCCCGUGUGAAGCUCCUUCGACGAGUCGAGUUGUUUGGGAAUGCAGCUCUAAAUGGGUGGUAAAUUUCAUCUAAAGCUAAAUAUUGGCCGGAGACCGAUAGCGCACAAGUAGAGUGAUCGAAAGAUGAAAAGCACUUUGAAAAGAGAGUUAAAAAGCACGUGAAAUUGUUGAAAGGGAAGCGCUUGCGACCAGACUCGCCCCAGGGGUUCAACCGGCUUUCGGGCCGGUGUACUUCCCCCGGGGCGGGCCAGCGUCGGUUUUGGCGGCCGGUCAAAGGCCCCUGGAAUGUAACGCCUCUCGGGGCGUCUUAUAGCCAGGGGUGCCAUGCGGCCCGCCGGGACCGAGGAACGCGCUUCGGCUCGGACGCUGGCAUAAUGGUCGUAAGCGACC